RNAcentral lists this small nucleolar RNA (92 nucleotides) under Penicillium decumbens. RNAcentral's name for it is "A. fumigatus snoRNA Afu_263". It matches the Rfam family "A. fumigatus snoRNA Afu_263". The record is from Rfam by way of RNAcentral. Lineage: Eukaryota; Fungi; Ascomycota; Eurotiomycetes; Eurotiales; Aspergillaceae.
CUGUAUGAUGAACAAACCUACCCAAGCAUAGUUCACCUGAAAUCUUCGGAUUGUUGAACGACAACCUUUAUCCAUCUUUCUUUUAUCUGAUA